RNAcentral lists this long non-coding RNA (3083 nucleotides) under Salvia miltiorrhiza (redroot sage). Its description in RNAcentral is "long non-coding RNA (SMIL_LNC007171)". The record is from RNAcentral. Lineage: Eukaryota; Viridiplantae; Streptophyta; Magnoliopsida; Lamiales; Lamiaceae.
UUCCUCAAUAAAAUCUCCAAAAUCUUGAUGCAGAUCUUGACAUUCUUCAAAUUCAUUAGCCCUCACAGUCACCCAUUCUUGAUCCUCCCCAAAAUCCCACCUCGUCGGUCCACUACCACCGACCAGUGCUCGGAUCCUACUAUUAGGUGAAUCGGUCGGCGAUGACGACAUCAUCUCCGUCGGAAUUUCCAAACAUUCCGACACCUCCACUGCAUCCCAAAAGUCUUGAUCCGUCACACUCGUCGGAGACCUCCUCGUCCCUUCUCCAAUUCCGCCGCAACCUUCCUCCGCCGAAUCCAAAAACGGAUGCCGCAGCAGCUCCGCCGCCGUCCACCGCCUCCUUGGGUCCCUCACCAAACACUUCCCCACGAAAUCCCUCGCCUCGCCGGAAAACCAGCUCGGCGGCUCCGGCACGUCGUCGGAGAACGCGAUCCGGUAAAGCGCCGCCGCCGGAUCCUUCAUCUCCGGCCAUGGGUGGCAUCCGGUGGCCAUUUCUAUUACCGUGCAUCCCACCGACCACACAUCCGCCGGGAAACUCUGCUCCUCGCCUCGGGAGGCCUCCGGCGCCAUGUACGCCGGCGUGCCGGAAAACACCCCGCCGGUUGCCGCCCAUUUUGCGCACCCGAAAUCGCCGAUCUUCACCCCAGCGCCGCCGCCGCCGACGAGAAUGUUCUGGCCUUUGAUGUCGCAGUGCACCAAUCCACUGCGGUGGAGAUAUUCCAAUCCCGUGAGCAGCUGCUUGGAAUAAAAUCGAAUCGUUUUCUCGUCCAACGCGCCUCCCCGCUUUCCGAUCAGAUCGGAAAGCGAACCGCCGCUGGAAUAUUCUAGAAACAGAUUGUAGACGGAUUUAUCAUCGUCGGAGGUGACAUCUGAGCCUAAGCAGCGAAUGACGUAAGGAGAGGAGAGUGAGAGAUGAAUGAUUCCUCCUUCUUCAGCAAGGCGGAGGAAGCGAGAUCAGUAGACUUGACGGCGAAGAUGUCGCCGGCGGGGGUGGCGGCGAUGGAAACCGUUGCGGUGGAGCCCCGGCCGAUGGUGGGACCCCUCGUCCACGUCAUUGAAGAAUUGGAGAAGAGUGAAAGGGUUUCAAUUUUCAAAUUUUGUUGGAAUCGCUAAAGUUUGGUUCGUUGGUGGCAGUAUUUAUAGGCGGAGAGUUAAAAUUAAUUUUGGGGAGAAUCAUUUUUGGGUGUAUUUACGGUGACGGCCGUAGUUUCUACUUGUAUUUGCAUUUAUAUGCAUGGCUGUGCCACGCGGCGGGCGGAGAGAGGGUGGGGCGUUUUGGCCGACUGUGGACGGCGCUGAGAAUAAGGCGUCGAGACGAGGACACGGUGGACACGUGCCUGCUCAAAUCGGCGUCGCUGAUUGCGCAAUCAACCAACCAGUUAACCCACUAAUGCAGCAGCUACCGUCGACCGAUGCGGUAUUGCGGCGGCUCUUGUUAUGUUACUGUUCACGAAAUUAAAAAACAGUAAAAUACAGAAAUUAAAUUAAACUUCGAACCUCAAGGGUAUUAUAUUUGAGAAGAACUGAUUUUAAUUCAUGUUUUCAGUAAGAUUCAAGUAUGAGAUUGAAAUUUAAUAAAAUAUAAAUUUUCACGCUCUUAACAAAAACACCUAAAUUUAUCAAAAUGUCAGAAAUUGAUAUAACUAUUUUCAGAAGAGAUAAUAAUGCAACAUGUUAUUUAAUUGUCGGAUUGGAGAUAAUUAGUUUUAUAUUUUCACCGUCCGAAUUCAAUGGGCCAUAUUUUUUUAUUUGAACGUCUCAUUAAAAUAAAUAUCCUCGUUUAAUUCAUUAUUCACCUUAAAUGUUAUUGUACCUCACACAUAAUUAUCUCUUUUUUAUUUAUCUCUCCUACUGUUUAUACAAAUUAUAUUUCUAAAAAAAAAUUCAUUUUUCUAAUCUAUUUUAUUAUAAACUAUUUAUUUCUUAAUAUUCGUGUCCAAAUCCUGUGACAUGUUGAAUUGGGGCGGAGGGAGUAUUAUUUUUGUAACGCCCCAAUUUUCAUAAACUUUUCAAACUAAAAUCUUGAAGAACUAAUAGUUAAAAAUAAAAUUCCUUGACUAUCAAAAUUUAAACUAAUUUUAAAAUCAACUUGCUAAAACUAAAGUAGUAACAUGAAAAAAAAAACAUAAAUUAAAACUUAACANAUUCAAAUUUUUACUUAGGAUAUUUAAAACGAUACAUCGUCGGUCAUCUUUUAAUUUGAAUAGCUAUUAUACAUUAUUUGUUAAAAAUAUAUAUUAACGAGUAAUUAAAAUAGAAUUUUAUAUAAUCGUUAUUGUCAGUCUGUCAAUCGAGGACAUGGUUAAUAGAUGCUUAAGCAUCUCCCAUUCAUUUACAUUAUAAUUUUGUUAUUCAUCAACAUUAUUUAUUUUUAUCAUUAAUAAUAAUAAUAAUAAUAAGUUAGAAGUAUCUAACUACUAACUGUCACUAUCAUAUUAGAGUUAGUAUCAUCUUUGAGAAAAGGCAGCUAAAAGAUCAAUUGAAUAACAAUAACAAAAACUAAAGGUAGAAAAGGCAGCAAAGAAACUUGAUCUGGAUGAAGAAAAAAUUCAAUUAACAUAAUCUUCAAAUCUAAAAAUUCUGAAUAGACAAAAUAUUUUACACUCUGUUUGUGUGUGAAUGAUGCUGCACAACCACUAACUCCAAUGAAAAAAUCAAACCAAGAAUAAUCCUCCACCAACACCAAAUCUGAAUAUGAAAUUUCUUCUUCCUCAAUAAAAUCUCCAAAAUCUUGAUGCAGAUCUUGACAUUCUUCAAAUUCAUUAGCCCUCACAGUCACCCAUUCUUGAUCCUCUCCAAAAUCCCACCUCGUCGGUCCACUACCACCGACCAGUGCUCGGAUCCUACUAUUAGGUGAAUCCGUCGGCGAUGACGACAUCAUCUCCGUCGGAAUUUCCAAACAUUCAGACACCUCCACUGCAUCCCAAAAGUCUUGAUCCGUCACACUCGUCGGAGACCUCCUCGUCCCUUCUCCAAUUCCGCCGCAACCCUCCUCCGCCGAAUCCAAAAACGGAUGCCGCAGCAGCUCCGCCGCCGUCCACCGCCUCCUUGGGUCCCUCACCAAACACUUCCCCACGAAAUCC